ACCGGGGGCUAAUACCGGAUAACACAUGAAACCGCAUGGUUUCAUGAUGAAAGACGGUUUUGCUGUCACUUAUAGAUGGACCCGCGGCGUAUUAGCUAGUUGGUAAGGUAACGGCUUACCAAGGCAACGAUACGUAGCCGACCUGAGAGGGUGAUCGGCCACACUGGAACUGAGACACGGUCCAG
RNAcentral lists this ribosomal RNA (185 nucleotides) under uncultured Staphylococcus sp. RNAcentral's name for it is "partial 16S ribosomal RNA". It matches the Rfam family "Bacterial small subunit ribosomal RNA", at positions 155 to 334 of the family's 1533-position model. Lineage: Bacteria; Bacillati; Bacillota; Bacilli; Caryophanales; Staphylococcaceae. The record is from RNAcentral.